AUUCCAGCUCCAAUAGCGUAUAUUAAAGUUGUUGCAGUUAAAAAGCUCGUAGUUGGAUUUGUGGUGUACUUCGGCGGCCCGUCACUAUGUGAUGGAGCUUGCUGAAGUCGCCAUCCUUGGGUGGAUCCUGUGUGGCAUUAAGUUGUCGUGCAGGGGAUGCCCAUCGUUUACUGUGAAAAAAUUAGAGUGUUCAAAGCAGGCUUAUGCCGUUGAAUAUAUUAGCAUGGAAUAAUAAGAUAGGACCUUGGUCUAUUUUGUUGGUUUGCAUUCCAAGGUAAUGAUUAAUAGGGAUAGUUGGGGUUAUUCGUAUUCAAUUGUCAGAGGUGAAAUUCUUGGAUUUAUGGAAGACGAACUACUGCGAAAGCAUUUACCAAGGAUGUUUUCAUUG
RNAcentral lists this ribosomal RNA (388 nucleotides) under Cylindrotheca sp. RNAcentral's name for it is "partial small subunit ribosomal RNA". It matches the Rfam family "Eukaryotic small subunit ribosomal RNA", at positions 582 to 975 of the family's 1831-position model. Lineage: Eukaryota; Bacillariophyta; Bacillariophyceae; Bacillariales; Bacillariaceae. The record is from RNAcentral.